GAUAUUACAGAAGCUCCACUUAUCAAGAUAUUUAUAUGUAACACACUGGACUUUUACAAAUUGUAAGGUUCGAGUAUUUGAUCUGUGAUUUGAGUUUUUUCAAAUAUUCUGUAGGGUCGUAGACUGUAAUAUACCGAAAAUUUGAAAAAUAAAUAUCGAACUUUAGUCAAAUUGACCAAAGUGCGAGGAUGGUACACUUCGGAAAGUCCGAAGGUGUUAAAAUGAGUAAAAGUGCGUUAUGGGAGGUUUUCGAGAGCUAAAAAAUCAAAAAUCUGUAAAUUGCAGUUUUUGAGAUCUCGGGGACCGGUCCCUGGUGGGAGAGACCGGUCCCCGAACGCGUGAGAAAUGAGAAAGACCGAAAAUCGG
RNAcentral lists this long non-coding RNA (366 nucleotides) under Ananas comosus (pineapple). RNAcentral's name for it is "long non-coding RNA (ACOM_LNC035650)". The record is from RNAcentral. Lineage: Eukaryota; Viridiplantae; Streptophyta; Magnoliopsida; Poales; Bromeliaceae.